ACCUUAGAGACGAACUAAGUUUGUUCUGGGUAUAAGCUUUCGUGUGCAUGCACACUUCUUCAGAUACCUUCUUCAGCACAUGAAAGCUUAUAUUCAGAACAAAAUUAGUUGGUCUCUAAGGU
This is a non-coding RNA of Podarcis lilfordi (Lilford's wall lizard), 122 nucleotides long. Lineage: Eukaryota; Metazoa; Chordata; Lepidosauria; Squamata; Lacertidae. The record is from the annotation of a GenBank genome assembly.